This is a long non-coding RNA of Triticum aestivum (bread wheat), 3457 nucleotides long. RefSeq lists it as uncharacterized. Lineage: Eukaryota; Viridiplantae; Streptophyta; Magnoliopsida; Poales; Poaceae. The record is from RefSeq and is a predicted model, not a curated record. The transcript has 4 exons.
GUCAGUUAGCAUCUUAGACUAGCAUCUUAGACUAGCAUCUUAGACUAGCAUCUUAGACUGGCAUCUUGGCAGCAUCUUAGCAUAUGCCUUGGCUGGCUAGCAGCCUAUAAAUAUGUAUCCCCAACCCCUCGGGUUGGUAUGGCAUUGUGUGAGAAAUAAACCAACGAAAAUUGUCCCAACUCUCCUAGUGUCAUCCACAACUAUCAAUGCUCAGGCUGAAAGGUCUAACAAGGAUAAAGGAGUGCAGUUUUCUGAUUCCGUGAUCUGCAGGUUUGAAGAACUAAUAUUAUGUAGCAAAUGGCAAUAGAAUAAUUUAGAUUUAAUAAAUUAGCUUUAAGGAUAAAUUAGCUGGUGCAUUUUAUUAUCAAGAACUAAUACUAUCAAUAUACUGGGGGCAAUAUUUAGCAAACAGUUCAAAAUUAGAUACUUCUUUAGAUUUAAGGAAUAAUCCAUCUUACCCCUCCAAUAAAGAAGGAAUAAUCCAUUUUCAUAUGUUCCUUUUUAUAUGCAGGCUACAACAGAGCUCCUAGCCGAAGCUCAUCCAGGAGCUUCGGCUAGCUGCUCGAACAAAUCGAAUGAGGGUGCACCGGCCUCCAGCAUGAAGCCUGCGAUUAGAGGCAGUCCUUUGCACUCCACCUCAUGCCCGUGCAUUGUUGGUACGCGUAUUUGAGGUCGAGUGUGUGCGCGCCUCUGCAACCCCAUAACUAGAGACCGAAAUCAAGGGUUUUGAUUGGUAAGUGAUGGAAAAAAGGAGAGGAAUAGCAGCAGGUAUAGAAGGAUUUCGGUUCCAGUAGCAAAAGUCAAUCCAUAAUCAUCGCAGAGAGCAAGCUGGACAAGGAGGCAGGAAGCAUAGGAGUUGGGGAAGAGAGAUCCAUGUGUUGGCGAGUGCUAGCUGGGUGUGUGCCUCCUGUUUGAGAGGGAGGGAGGACCUUUGCUGGGCAGUCAAAGGAUGUGCUCGGUUAUGGUGGCCCAACUGCAAGCUUAGCUUGCAGCUCCAGCUUGGAUUUGUCAGAUUUAUUGGUAAGCCAAAUUGUUUAAAUUUAUAUUGUCCAAUUUAUUUAUAGGAACCAAUCACCCAAAUGCCUUUCCUAGACUGAUGCAAAUGGAGCUUGCAAUCAGAUCCAAAAGACUAAUGAAGCUGGAGCUGUCAAACUGACCAAAGCAGGAAAACGUCGGUCUCAUCCCUGGCCUUCUUCAGUUGAGAAGAUUACUCUGCUUUUUAUCACUGUUGGAGGAUUCCUUAUUUUCAGAAGUCAGUAUCACAGCAACAGGCAAGCAGCUUGGCCAACUCAUUAUUUCUACCGUCACCAAUCGUUUUUAUUGUUGCUGGCCAAUGUAGAUUGUCGUGAUUGUAUGAAAGAUUAAUACCUUUCUCACGUGCAUGCUAGCUAGAAGCCGAUGUAUGAUUCUUGGUGUAUUCUUGUGUGUGUCCAUCGAAACAAGAGGGAGGGUCGGGCUCCAGUCAUCCAGAUCCUAUUAAUGGAGUUCAGCCACUUUGAAAAAGGUGAUGCUUCACAUUGUAAGUUUCUUUGUGGUUGUUGGUGUUUUUUCUUGAUGUGUUUGCAUGAUAGUUGUCUGCUUGUGCAUAUUCAGCUGUUCGAAAAUGCUUGUCAUUCAUGUGCAAGUUAACCAGCUAGGGAAAGUAAUAGCAGUUCACUUGAUCACAUGGUAAUAAUGUUAGUAGGUGUAUGUCAAGCUAGCUGAUUAGCAAGUCAACAUGGCCUCGGUUAACAUACGUCGGUUUUUAGUUGCUGGUCAGUUAUGCAGCUUGUCUCCAAUGACCUUUCUAACUCAAACAUGCCAUCGAUCGGUCAAAUAGACAACAAGGACACGAAACAAAUGGAAAGAAAGCAGCAAGCUGUUAAAUUCAUAAUUUUAUUUCUGUGAUUUCUUCUUUCAUUUUGUGGAACCUAGCUUGUGAAAUCUUCCGUCUUUCUAACUUGAGGGCCUCUUGUGGUUUUAGCAAUGGGCUUGGCUCUAGCUCUUAAAAGUUGGUGAGCGAGAAGUUCACAACCUGAACACCGUAAGUUGUGCCUUCAUGCCUAUUACAAAGAAGUUACUAUAAAAGGGAUUUGUGUGUGAGUUUGACCAAUUGGAUUCCUGAUUGAUUUAUCAGAACCAAUACAUGCAAUGCUACAUCACACCAUAUUUUAAAAGUUCAUUGGAAAUUUCAAAGGUAGCAACGAGGUGCAACGGUCCUCCGCUGAGCGACUUUGUUGAGAGUCAAUUUCUUUAGGAGCAGGUAAACCGUCUUCAUACAGAGAGAUCUGCCAUAAAGGCACUAUUGUCUCGAAACACUUCAUGCACUUUGAUCCGAUACUGCUUGAAGAAAAGGCCUAAAGGUGAGGACAGGAAUGCUCCAAGGGAAGAUGCAUGUAAGGUCACAAAUCAUAACUCUCAGGUAGCGGAUCAGCCAACCACUGGAUGUGUUCCAUGAUUUAUUUAUUUCAGUGGUUUACAAAGUGGUAUGUACGGUGCACACGCCCUCCAAAGUUAUAAUUUCUCUUUAGUUAUCUCCUUACGAUUUCUUUGAUGCUUGUGAAAAUGCGAAGGCUUGAUGUGAACUAUGGUGCCGACAGGAUAUGAAUGGCCGGACAAUGCGGCAUUUUUCUUUUGCACCAAAGAAUCUCAGACCAUCAUGCUGUUCUUUUCAGUUUGAAUCUUCUUAGAAGUUGGAAUGUAAGUAGGAAGAUAACAUACACAGUUCAAUUUUGUAUGUCUAAUUAAUAAUGGUUUUGUGGUUGACAUUUGGGGAUGAUGAUAUAAACAACUAAAGCAAUGGUAAGAAAAUGUAUGUUCCAUUUUCAUCUUAUUAGUGGGCUAAAUCCAUGGAGCUUUGGUACGUUAUUAUUGAUUGAUAGUCAUCUAUAUAUGGAUUUUUUUAGCCUUUUGUUUCUCCUCAUGCUGCUACUGUAUCAAUUCAAUUUGAGAAGCACAUUCUUCAUGCGCCUAUAUGUGGUAUACUAAUAUGCACUGCUGUAAGUCGGUUGCUAUUGUUAAAUGGAUCAAUAAUGAAAUACUCAUUACUGCUACCAGAGUAUAUUCCAUCACAAUGCCCGGGCACCAAUAGUCAAGAGGAGGAUGUUGUAGAUGAAAGUGAUAGGAGGUAACUAUGAGCAUGAUCUAACAAUGGGCCAAUGCCAUCCUUGCAGUUGCGUACCGCACGCACCCACACGCCGCACUGCACGCCCACGUGUCAGAGAAACAAUCACAGAUAAACAGCGAACAUCAGUUGACAUUAUUUUCUUUAUGAACCCCACGGGUGUUGACUACAAAGGGAUUUUAUAUUCACACAAAUAUUUUCAAGCGAACUGCCCCUGAAAAAGAAGUGUACCCCUCGUGGAAUACCUUUUGUUUCUUGUCACAAGCCGAACCAGGGGCGCGUUGUAACGAACUGCAUCAUUUUCAACAUUUCACAAGCAGGUUCCUAGAAUUUUUAGGCCCUGAAUGUUUUUCA